AUUGAACGCUGGCGGCAUGCUUUACACAUGCAAGUCGAACGGCAGCGCGGGCUUCGGCCUGGCGGCGAGUGGCGAACGGGUGAGUAAUACAUCGGAACGUGCCCAGUAGUGGGGGAUAGCUCGGCGAAAGCCGGAUUAAUACCGCAUACGACCUGAGGGUGACAGCGGGGGAUCUUCGGACCUCGCGCUAUUGGAGCGGCCGAUGGCAGAUUAGCUAGUUGGUGGGGUAAAGGCCUACCAAGGCGACGAUCUGUAGCUGGUCUGAGAGGACGACCAGCCACACUGGGACUGAGACACGGCCCAGACUCCUACGGGAGGCAGCAGUGGGGAAUUUUGGACAAUGGGCGAAAGCCUGAUCCAGCAAUGCCGCGUGUGUGAUGAAGGCCUUCGGGUUGUAAAGCACUUUUGGCGGGAACGAAAAGGACUGUGCCAAUACCACGGUUCGAUGACGGUACCCGCAGAAUAAGCACCGGCUAACUACGUG
Molecule: ribosomal RNA, 484 nt
Filed under: uncultured bacterium
Lineage: Bacteria
Description: partial 16S ribosomal RNA
Rfam family: Bacterial small subunit ribosomal RNA
Source: RNAcentral